AUUGAACGCUGGCGGCAGGCCUAACACAUGCAAGUCGAACGAGUGGCGGACGGGUGAGUAAUGUCUGGGAAAUUGCCCGAUGGAGGGGGAUAACUACUGGAAAAGGUAGCUAAUACCGCAUACCAUCGGAUGUGCCAAGAUGGGAUUAGCUAGUAGGUGGGGUAACGGCUCACCAAGGCGACGAUCCCUAGCUGGUCUGAGAGGAUGACCAGUCACACUGGAACUGAGAAACGGUCCAGACGCCUACGGGAGGCAGCAGUGGGGAAUAUUGCACAAUGGGCGCAAGCCUGAGGCAGCCAUGCGGCGUGUGUGAAGAAGGCCUUCGGGUUGUAAAGUACUUUCAGCGGGGAGGCGUUACUCGCAGAAGAAGCACCGGCUAACUCCGUGCCAGCAGCCGCGGUAAUAC
This 406-nucleotide ribosomal RNA is filed under the name uncultured bacterium. RNAcentral describes it as "partial 16S ribosomal RNA". It matches the Rfam family "Bacterial small subunit ribosomal RNA", at positions 30 to 526 of the family's 1533-position model. The record is from RNAcentral.